UACGUAGGACGCGAGCGUUGUCCGGAUUUAUUGGGCGUAAAGAGCUCGUAGGCGGUUUGUCGCGUCGGGAGUGAAAACUCAGGGCUCAACCCUGAGCGUGCUUCCGAUACGGGCAGACUAGAGGUAUGCAGGGAGAACGGAAUUCCUGGUGUAGCGGUGGAAUGCGCAGAUAUCAGGAGGAACACCGGUGCGAAGGCGGUCUCUGGGCCAUUACCUGACGCUGAGGAGCGAAAGCAUGGGAGCGAACAGG
Molecule: ribosomal RNA, 250 nt
Filed under: uncultured bacterium
Lineage: Bacteria
Description: partial 16S ribosomal RNA
Rfam family: Bacterial small subunit ribosomal RNA
Source: RNAcentral